Molecule: long non-coding RNA, 516 nt
Organism: Fundulus heteroclitus (mummichog)
Lineage: Eukaryota; Metazoa; Chordata; Actinopteri; Cyprinodontiformes; Fundulidae
Exons: 2
Source: RefSeq, a predicted model, not a curated record
AGAGGCUUGAGCUGAAACCGAAACUGAAGGGGCUGGAAUGGUUCUCCAACGACAGGGCUAAUGGUGCAUUUACAUCUGAACAGGCUGUGAUCCUGCACCUCAGUGCCUCGGAGGAAGGAAGGUUGACGGAAGAGGAGUUGGUGAAUCGGUUGGAUUUGGAGCGGCGCAGGAAAAACAAAACGUAAAAAAAUAUAGGAUUUGGAAAAGGCGGAUUUUGGCAUAAACUGGUAUGUGAAUGGUUCUGGUGGAAAUGGAGGUAGAAAUUGAGGAAGGUAUGGAUUUUGAAGGGUAGUUGCCAGUGGGGAGAGGAAGAGGGAGAGGACGUGGAAGAAAUGAAACAGAUGAAGGAAAGAGAAGUCAAGGCAGUAAACGAGAACUGGAAGGAAGUAGUUCGGAUGAAGAAAGGAUAGUUAGGAGGAAACUUGUGAGGGAGGAAUUUAAAAUAAUAUUAAAACUUAAAAAUGAGCAGGAACAGGAUAACAUCAGCCCCAUUGUGGUGUCAAGAGAAAUAAAAAA